This 1278-nucleotide long non-coding RNA is filed under the name Oryctolagus cuniculus (rabbit). Its description in RNAcentral is "lncRNA (ENSOCUG00000039195.1)". The record is from RNAcentral. Lineage: Eukaryota; Metazoa; Chordata; Mammalia; Lagomorpha; Leporidae.
GUGAGACCCUGCUUGGCAUUUGUUUGGCAGCCUCUCCCAGCUCGGUGGUAGUAAUUUCUAGAUUCCAUUUCUGUUGGGUCCUGACAUGAUCGGUCCUACUCUUGAUGCUAAGAACAGAAUUCACAAUAAAGGCAGUUUCUCUCGUGUCCCUUCCUCGGACACAUACUGCCCAGACUCCCUGGAGCUGGUACAAACCCCGAGAUCCCCUAGGGCCCGGAUGUCCAUGCUGUAGGGGCUCCCCAGGCACACCGAGGAUCCCAGGUGUGUAUUCCUGCAAAAAAAGGAGACAGCCCGUGUGGGUCUGUGUGUUGGGCUCACCUGCCAGAAAUCUGUUCCUUUUCUUUAUACAAGACAUUUCUUGUUUCUCACAUGGGCACCUUGGACGCCACCCCCUCUUACAGGGGUGAGCUGUCUGUGCUUUGCCAGCCAGGGAUGUGUAGCACCAGAAAGGUCACCAGCUCUGGCCCUUCUAUACCCUGCUCUCCUCCUUGCUUCUUGGGGGUCUAUUUCUCUCUCUCUUUCCACUUUGUAUUUCUUUUCUUCCUUCUCCUCUGCUUUCCCACUUCCAUGCCCAUGUCUCACACGUUGGUUUCCAUACCUACCCCCCCCCCCAUGCCGACACCUCACCCCCACCAGUCUCCCUGGGGCCUGGAAAAGCUCCCAGCUUGCCUGCAACCCAGGCCCACCCCACGAAGGCUCUUCAAAGAUCCCAUCCUGGUGUGGGCUUGGAGCUGAGCUGUCACAUGCCACCUCCUGCAUUGAAAGUCCCCUGCUGGAGGCAUUUCCAGGGCUACCUGGGCUCUCCUGGCCCCUGCAGGGUGUACAGAGGCUCCCCCUGCCUGGCCACCCCCAGCUGGGGACUUCUGAGGCUCCCUGCACUGGCUCAGUGUGUGAGCUCCCCUGGCAGUGGGACUACCCACUGGGGCAAAGGGCCUCAGGGGCCCGGGAGACCCAGAUUAGCAUUUUAAAGAAAGGUCAGCAAGAAAGGAUUUCCCAGACCUGCUGGGAGCAGACUGGAGGCUGGCAGGAAAGUUCAGCGCCCCAGCCCGCCCCCCUCCCCUCAACAGGCCCGUGUGCUGGCAUUUGAGAGGAUCUGAGCAGGCAGAAAGGGCACCAGAUAAGGAUUCGGACUUCAGCUCAGUCACUGGCCAGCAAAGGAGGCGGUGGGCAGGUGACUUCACGUCUCCAAGCUGCAGCUUCCUCCCUGUAAAGAGUCUCACCAAAAAAACCCUGUAAAGUGUCUUCCCUUCCAGAACGGUGAUGGCCCAGGAAGGGGGC